This is an RNA transcript of Cataglyphis hispanica, 4289 nucleotides long. RefSeq lists it as uncharacterized. NCBI's taxonomy places the organism in Eukaryota, Metazoa, Arthropoda, Insecta, Hymenoptera, Formicidae. The transcript has 17 exons. The record is from RefSeq and is a predicted model, not a curated record.
UCUGCAGGCUAUAAGUUUCAGAUGUGAGAAAGAAAGAGAAACUAUGUCAGUAAAAGAACACCGCUCGAAGAAAAAGUACUCUUACGUUAGGUUCCCUAAAUUCUAUGCGCUCGUAAGUCGCAGUGAGGGGAAAUUAGACAAGUAGAGAGAAUAAGAUGUAAAAUGAGAAGUAACCUAGUUUAUAAGUUACGUUAUAUAUUCUUGUCAUUGCCGUGAUCAUUAGUAUAUCUGCCCUUCCCAUUCGCAUGAUCCAUUCAUGACGUACUUUUUCGUAGGUGGACUAUAUAUAAACCUGUUUAUGUCUUCUUCUUGCUCUUCUGUAUCCCGCAAGACAUCGUAGAUGUAUAUAUAUAUCGUGUAUAUAAUUAUAUUUUCCUUUUGUUUGCACUUUAAUUUAUUGCUGCAAAGUGAAAAGAAGUACGUGUGAAAGUUUAUUUUCUCUCAGCACACGUAUAUUUUCAAAUAUCUGAAAACCUCUAAAUCAUCUCAUCUCAAAGAUGUGUUCAACGACAAUUAGGGGUAGUAUUUAUUUUAUUUUAUGCUUUACUGUGUUGUUUGGAACUGCAUUGGGCUUAUACGUAACAUCACCGCAUAUAAUCGUCUUCAUGGCCGAUGAUUUGGGAUGGGAUGACGUCGGUUUUCACGGUUCGGAUCAGAUACCGACUCCGAAUAUAGAUGCUUUGGCGUAUAAUGGAAUUAUAUUAAACAGGCAUUAUGUCUUACCAUCCAGCACACCUUCUAGAACUGCCUUUUUCACCGGACAAUAUCCAAUACGUUUGGGUAUGCAGGGAGCAGAUAUACAGGGUGGUGAACCCAGAGGAAUUCCUCUCAAAGUGAAGAUAUUACCAGAAUACUUACGAGAUUUGGGAUAUAUGACGAAACUGAUCGGAAAGUGGCAUGUGGGGUACUAUACAUCCCAACACACUCCCUUAAAUCGGGGUUUCGAUUCCUUCUUUGGCUUUUACAACAGUCAUAUUACGUAUUAUGAUUAUAAAUACUCGUUUCAGAACAUGAGUGGAUAUGAUAUGCAUCGUGGUGAUGCUCCAGCUUAUGUAUCAACUAAUAAAUAUGUAACUGAUCUUUUCACCGACGAAGCGGUCAGGAUCAUUCAGUAUCACGAGCCAUCUCAAUCGCUCUUUCUUCAAAUAUCGCAUCUUGCUGUUCACGCGCCUCUUGAGAAUCCACAUGAUUAUGACUACUACGAUAGACAGUUUAGGCACAUUCGGGAAAUAAAUCGCCGCAAGUAUGCUGGAAUGGUAUCGCGAUUAGAUAAUUCCGUUGGACGUGUCGUUCAGGCCUUAGGUAGCAGAGGGAUGUUAAAGGAUUCAUUGAUCCUUUUUUUAACUGAUAACGGUGCAGCAUCCAUUGGAAAAUUUCGCAAUUAUGGUUCUAAUUAUCCUUUACGAGGUAUGAAAUAUACGCUGUAUGAAGGAGGUGUGAGAGGAGUUGCUGUAUUAUGGUCACCAAGAUUACGUAAAACAGCACGUGUAUGCGAUGAUUUGAUGCACAUAACCGACUGGUUACCGACUCUAUAUACUGUCGCUGGUGGUGAUGUAAGGGACUUGGGAGAGAUCGACGGUGUCAAUCAAUGGUGCAUGUUAAAUAACAGUUUUCCGAGUGCCAGAGAUAGGCUAUUACUUAACAUCGAUGAGGUUUCUAAGACUGAGGGCGCCAUAUACAAACAAUUCAAGCUUCUUCGGGGGUCAAUCGAGGGUGGAUACUACGAUGGUUAUUAUCCAGAUAUCGAAAGAAUCAUGCCUAAUUAUCCCAGAAAGAGCCUACAAGAAGAAGCCUACAAAAACAUGCCGCCGUACACUGACACCGUUUUAAAGAGUGUGGUGUCACAGAGCAUCACUCGUCACCUGGGUGAUCCAGUCACUCAACCCAGCACGAUAAUUCAGUUGCGGCGCGAAGCAACUGUCAAUUGCCGACCUAGAGACAGUUUCAUUACAUGCAAUGUCACCGAGUGUCUUUUCGAUAUCAAUAAUGAUCCCUGCGAAACGAGGAACAUCGCCGAGCAAUAUUCAAGGAUCUCUCGGGAAUUGGAUAAAUACUUGGAACAUUACGGGCUUAUUAUUAAGAGACAGAUUAAGAUACCGGUAGACUGGCUGGCAGAUCCAAGAAGAACAAACAAUACGUGGGAGCCGUGGGGAUGGAACGACGUUAGCUUCCACGGCGCCGAUGAGAUUCCUACACCGAAUAUAGAUGCUCUCGCAUACAAUGGCGUGAUACUAAAUCGACAUUACGUAUUGCCAAUGUGCACACCAUCGAGAACAGCUUUUCUCACUGGAAAAUAUCCCAUAAGAACAGGUAUGCAAGGUUUCCCCUUGCGAGGAGCUGAACCACGUGGUAUACCUUUGAACAAUAUUCUCUUACCCGAGUAUCUUCGAAAAAUCGGAUAUGCCACUCAUUUGGUGGGAAAAUGGCAUGUUGGUUAUUAUACAAGGAAUUACGGUCCUACUCGUCGUGGUUUCGACACUUUUGUUGGGUAUUAUUCUGGUUACAUCGAAUAUUUCAAUCACUCACUCUACGAAAGUGAACAAUUGGGGUAUGAUUUGCAUCGUAUUGUGGGUGACAAUCACAAGAUUGAAUAUAGCUAUGACUAUAUGACUGAUCUUAUAACCGAUGAGGCUGAAAAUAUUAUUACGUCGCAUAAUCCUGCGAAACCUCUAUAUUUGCAAUUAGCACAUCUUGCACCCCAUUCUAGUGGAAUCGAAGAUGCAAUGCAAGUACGCAAUUGGACAGAAACAAAUAUUACUCUCGGUUAUAUCGAAGACAUAAAUAGAAGAAAAUACGCAAGUGUCGUUGCCACUUUAGAUGAAUCAGUCGGUCGGGUGAUCAAUGCUCUGCAGAGAACAGAUAUGCUGAAAAACUCGAUCAUCAUUUUUAUAGCCGACAAUGGAGCGCAAACUGAAGGACUAAUGCAAAAUUACGGAUCUAAUUAUCCACUUAGAGGGUUAAAAUUCAGUCUUUUCGAAGGCAGCAUUCGCGGCACGGCGUGCAUCUAUUCACCUUUGAUUGAUCAUCCCUCGAGAGUUUCUAUUCAAUUGUUUCACAUUACUGAUUGGUUGCCGACAUUAUAUUCCGCGGCUGGCGGUAAUCCGAAUGAUCUGAAACAAUUGGAUGGCAUUGAUCAGUGGUCCGAAAUCAAAAACGCGAGAGAUGGCAAACGGAAGUCAAUUCUUGUGAAUAUUGACGAGAAGAUUAAUAGUGAAGCAGCAUUAAUAGGAUCUUACAAACUUGUUAAAGAUAAGUCUGAGUACCAAAAGUAUUAUAAUUAUAGUGGUAAAAAUAUACUUUAUCCCAAAUACAAUGCAAUGAAAGUACUAACAUCGCCAGCUGCAUCAGCUAUCGCGAGUGUUUCAACUUUUGUGUUAAACGCAAAUAAAGUAAUGCAGCUGCGGGAAGAAGCCGCAGUAGUUUGCAAGAAUUUUACGGAUUUCCCCAAUUGUACAAAUCGCACCUGCUUGUUCAAUGUCUAUGAGGAUCCUUGUGAAACUACGGAUCUAUCUUCGAAAUAUCCUAAGGACGUGAAGAGAUUGAACAUGUUCAUCGAUCGCUAUAAAUCGGUCCUCAUGAACCAGACGAACGCACCCGUCGAUCCGGCUGGCUUUCCGAGUAACUUUAACAACACUUGGGUGCCCUGGUUGCCGGACGACUAUCAGUCGAUCAGCGAAAUGCAUUUCACGAUGAAUGAAAUGACGCCGUAACAACGCUUCAUUCGUCUUGGAUUAUGAAGUGGUUUACAUCGCUGCGGGUGAACUCGCCUGGUGGGUUCCGCGUGCAGAGGAACGAAGGAUAUAAGUCCAAGCCGAAACUUAACGACGUAAUGAACGUCUGACGGAGGAUUAUUUAUCGAUGGCAACGGGGCAGCGUAAGGGCCGGCCGAAGUACCUAAGGAGAAUAGGAAGGAAGACGAACGAUCGACACCGUGGACAAAAUUGGCGCGAGGAGACUCAAGUAGGAGGCGAAGUAGGAGGAAGUGAAGUAGAGUAGGAGGACUCCACCACCACCACCGGCUGGCAAAUCCUGCGGGACUGCUCCGACGGACACCUGUAAGCACGCAGACUCCCUGCCGAGCCGGACGCACGGUGCACGAGAAAGUUCGAAAUCGUCGCAGAUCCUGAAGGAUCCUGAGGCGUACUGUCGAUGCGUUUUUCACUCGCGAUUUCAACGAAAGUGAUGCCUGGUGUCUGUGCGCGUGUUUUACAUGCGGUCCUUUGCCUCAUCUAUUAAUUCACUGUUAAUCACGUUGUUCAAAACAAAUAAAGUUUUAUAUCUGAAGAUGA